This 72-nucleotide transfer RNA is filed under the name Candidatus Zixiibacteriota bacterium. RNAcentral describes it as "tRNA-Thr". It matches the Rfam family "tRNA". From Rfam's summary of the family: Transfer RNA (tRNA) molecules are approximately 80 nucleotides in length. Lineage: Bacteria; Pseudomonadati; Candidatus Zixiibacteriota. The record is from RNAcentral.
GCCGAUGUAGCUCAAAGGUAGAGCAACUGAUUUGUAAUCAGUUGGUUGGAGGUUCGAUUCCUCUCAUCGGCU